AUUGAACGCUGGCGGCAUGCUUUACACAUGCAAGUCGAACGGCAGCGCGGGCUUCGGCCUGGCGGCGAGUGGCGAACGGGUGAGUAAUGCAUCGGAACGUGCCCAGUAGUGGGGGAUAGCCCGGCGAAAGCCGGAUUAAUACCGCAUACGACCUGAGGGUGAAAGCGGGGGACCGAAAGGCCUCGCGCUAUUGGAGCGGCCGAUGUCGGAUUAGCUAGUUGGUGGGGUAAAGGCUUACCAAGGCGACGAUCCGUAGCUGGUCUGAGAGGACGACCAGCCACACUGGGACUGAGACACGGCCCAGACUCCUACGGGAGGCAGCAGUGGGGAAUUUUGGACAAUGGGGGCAACCCUGAUCCAGCCAUGCCGCGUGCGGGAAGAAGGCCUUCGGGUUGUAAACCGCUUUUGUUCGGGAAGAAAUCCUCUGGGUUAAUACCCCGGGGGGAUGACGGUACCGGAAGAAUAAGCACCGGCUAACUACGUG
RNAcentral lists this ribosomal RNA (484 nucleotides) under uncultured bacterium. RNAcentral's name for it is "partial 16S ribosomal RNA". It matches the Rfam family "Bacterial small subunit ribosomal RNA", at positions 28 to 507 of the family's 1533-position model. The record is from RNAcentral.